AGAGUUUGAUCCUGGCUCAGAACGAAUGCUGGCGGCAGGCUUAACACAUGCAAGUCGAGCGAUGUAGCAAUACAUAGCGGCGCACGGGUGAGUAACACGUGGGAAUAUGCCCUUUGGUACGGAAUAGCCUCGGGAAACUGGGAUUAAUACCGUAUAUGACGAGAGUUGAAAGAUUUAUCGCCAAAGGAUUAGCCCGCGUC
This 200-nucleotide ribosomal RNA is filed under the name uncultured bacterium. Its description in RNAcentral is "partial 16S ribosomal RNA". It matches the Rfam family "Bacterial small subunit ribosomal RNA", at positions 8 to 237 of the family's 1533-position model. The record is from RNAcentral.